Molecule: ribosomal RNA, 466 nt
Filed under: uncultured bacterium
Lineage: Bacteria
Description: partial 16S ribosomal RNA
Rfam family: Bacterial small subunit ribosomal RNA
Source: RNAcentral
GAUGAACGCUGGCGGCGUGCUUAACACAUGCAAGUCGAACGAUGAAGCCCAGCUUGCUGGGUGGUUUAGUGGCGAACGGGUGAGUAACACGUGAGUAACCUGCCCUUAACUCUGGGAUAAGCCUGGGAAACUGGGUCUAAUACCGGAUAGGAGCGCCUACCGCAUGGUGGGUGUUGGAAAGAUUUAUCGGUUUUGGAUGGACUCGCGGCCUAUCAGCUUGUUGGUGAGGUAAUGGCUCACCAAGGCGACGACGGGUAGCCGGCCUGAGAGGGUGACCGGCCACACUGGGACUGAGACACGGCGCAGACGCCUACGGGAGGCAGCAGUGGGGAAUAUUGCACAAUGGGCGAAAGCCUGAUGCAGCGACGCCGGGUGAGGGAUGACGGCCUUCGGGUUGUAAACCUCUUUCAGUAGGGAAGAAGCGAAAGUGACGGUACCUGCAGAAGAAGCACCGGCUAACUACGUG